UGCAUGGAUAGCCUCUCGCAGGUCACAUCUACGUCUUUAGUUUGAAAAAAGUAUCGUUAUACUUUGAACUGAAUUGUAUAAUAUAUCCUUCGUUCGAACUAUAUAUUCUUCGAAGGCUCGAAGCUGUUUUAUUCUACACUUGCUGUAUUAUAUCUUUGAUUGGCGACCACGGACCACGCUUUACAUUGAACAAUCAUGUGAACAUCUAUAAGAUCCAUCACGAGAUCUCUAGUUUGUUUACCAACAUUCAGUGUAUCUGGUUUAUUUCUGUCUUCAUUCUGUGGAAUUGUCAAGAUGUAGUUGAAAUAUAGCUCUCAGAAAGGUAGGACAUCUUAGUGUGGAAUAACUCAAAUGGACUGCAAUGGUCCAGCCUCUCUUUCGCAGUAUGUGAUCCAGCUCGCAAGUCCUUUGCACCAGCAAACCUGACUCGGGUCAUUUGAUCACCACCAAAUGGAACUGAUACAAUUUUCAUAUGGUCACUUUCAUCCACCCUAUUGUAAUGUGCCCUUGGUUGAUCUGGUAAUAACGACUGUCCUUCAACUGUGAAAUGGCCGUUUUGAGGCUCCAAGUUCUUCUUUCAUGCCAAGCAUGGUGGUGCCUCGUGAGAUUCUCCCCCCCCCCGCAUAUCGAAAACGCUUCUGUGCCCUUGAUUCAUAUUAGAAAAUUUUGGUGAUGAAGAAAAUUUUCAGGCAAAUAGCCUCAGCCCCCCCCAGUUGAAAUUGGCCCUGUACGCCUAUGAUGACAAGUUCUUUAAACGUUUGCAAGGUGGAAAAACACCACGUAUAUUUAUUAAUGCAAACUAUUCGAUCCAUAUGCCUUGAUUAUCACUGAUGACAAUCCAGGCAUACAGACUGAAAGCUUUGCAUUAAUAAAUAUACAUGGUGUUUCUCCACAAAAUAAAUACAAUUAUAAAUCAUAUAUAGUUUCUGUUUUCUAGUGAUCUAUUCCUAGUAUGUACAGUGUAAGACAAAUGUGCUCUGAAACCUAUUCCUCUUGUAGUUUUGUGCAAGUUUGUGUGUGCACAGUUUGAUCUGGGUUGAUCAUAUUGAAUAUUAAAUUGCUGACAUAUUUUAAGGCUAUUACAACAAAUAGAAUUUGUUCCUCAUUUCUGAACUUGUCCAACAUAAAGUGGGAAAAGGUCCUAGCCUAGAAUCUGCAAUUACAAAAUAUUUGGAAUAAAAACUGACUUUAUAUUGUACCAAGUUGCAUUGAUCAACUGCUGAAUGCCAAAGCAUGGAUGUCUGUAGAUUGUACUAUAUCUAUAAUAGAACUUAAGUUUUUAACUACAAUGAACAUACAUAUAGACCUCCACUGGGAAAGCAUUUUGAAACAAUCGCAGAACAAGUCUGCAAUUGAAGGACAGUUUAUUUGUUGACAACCCUAUAAGUACAAGUAACUAUGUAAGAAUUUUGCUGAUUAUUGUACAUCAUAAUUAUAUAUUUUUAUAUCAUGAAUUAUAUAUUUGAAAUUUCUACAUGUCUUUUAAAAAAAUCCACUAUAUCAUAUAACAUAUACAUGUGCUUUAGAAGUGGUGUUUUCAAACUUUAGCAUCAAUGAUAAAAAAUAAGGACAAACAAAAUCAAUCUGUAUUUUAAUCAUAAAAUAUACAUACAAUUUUAUAUACACUGAA
RNAcentral lists this unclassified non-coding RNA (1630 nucleotides) under Dendronephthya gigantea. RNAcentral's name for it is "uncharacterized LOC114525234, transcript variant X3". The record is from RNAcentral. Lineage: Eukaryota; Metazoa; Cnidaria; Anthozoa; Malacalcyonacea; Nephtheidae.